UGUUACCAUUUUAGUUAAAUUUAAUCCCUAAUUGAUCUGACUAACCAGCCAAAAAGGAUUAUAUAGACAAUGUCUGCAAAUAGAUGGAAUUAAUGAAAAUUAGUCCUUAAUACUUCCGUCUGACUACAUGAUAGUAUUUUGUGGCUAAACAUAGUUUUUACUCGAUGAAAUAUUUACCAACUUACAUUGACAAAUUCUUCUCCUUCAUUUGAAGAUCAAAAGCCAAAUCACACAUGGAUCCCCAAACUUUAGGUUUACCAUUACUAAUUCUCUAGCUUGGAAAUUUUAAAAUAAAAUCAUAGGAAAACUAUUGGAAGUAGUCCAGUGGUUAUUUGAGUCUCCUGAAUAUUAAGGUGGUUCACUGUAAAACUGGGCAAUUAGGGUUUGGUCAAUUACUCAAGUAUGUUUCCUCUGGGUAUUGAUUGUUCCCUAAGUGGUUAAUAGCCGGCUACACUUUUCUUGUGAUUAGUAAUACAUGUAUAGGAGUCUCAUCUUGGUUGUCAACUCCUUAAUUCAAGAAGCUGAUGUUUUAUCUUCCCUAAGCCGUCAGUUGUGGCGUAAAUCAAGGAGGGUUAAUCUCCUUAUAUAUUUCUGUACAAUUGUAAUGAGGUUACGAAUGAAAUACAAGAUAACACUUUGAAAGUCAAUAAAACCAUGAAUCUUAUUAUAUACCAAAGUCAGGAUAUUAUGAUAAAAAUCAAUUGAUACGAAAGAGUAGAGCUAUUAAAGACCUUGCAAAUUGGAUCAAGAGAUUGAGCAGAUUG
This 764-nucleotide long non-coding RNA is filed under the name Malus domestica (apple). RNAcentral describes it as "long non-coding RNA (MDOM_LNC017163)". Lineage: Eukaryota; Viridiplantae; Streptophyta; Magnoliopsida; Rosales; Rosaceae. The record is from RNAcentral.